RNAcentral lists this ribosomal RNA (500 nucleotides) under uncultured bacterium. RNAcentral describes it as "partial 16S ribosomal RNA". It matches the Rfam family "Bacterial small subunit ribosomal RNA", at positions 28 to 523 of the family's 1533-position model. The record is from RNAcentral.
GUUGAACGCUGGCGGCAUGCCUUACACAUGCAAGUCGAACGGCAGCACGGGAGCAAUCCUGGUGGCGAGUGGCGAACGGGUGAGUCAAGUAUCGGAACGUGCCCAGUCGUGGGGGAUAACGUAGCGAAAGUUACGCUAAUACCGCAUACGAUCUAUGGAUGAAAGCGGGGGAUCGCAAGACCUCGCGCGAUUGGCUCGGCCGAUAUCAGAUUAGGUAGUUGGUGGGGUAAAGGCUCACCAAGCCGACGAUCUGUAGCUGGUCUGAGAGGACGACCAGCCACACUGGGACUGAGACACGGCCCAGACUCCUACGGGAGGCAGCAGUGGGGAAUUUUGGACAAUGGGCGCAAGCCUGAUCCAGCCAUGCCGCGUGCAGGAUGAAGGCCUUCGGGUUGUAAACUGCUUUUGUACGGAACGAAAAGGUUUGACUUAAUACGUUGGACUCAUGACGGUACCGUAAGAAUAAGCACCGGCUAACUACGUGCCAGCCGCCGCAGUAA